This 333-nucleotide ribosomal RNA is filed under the name Triticum aestivum (bread wheat). Its description in RNAcentral is "partial small subunit ribosomal RNA". Lineage: Eukaryota; Viridiplantae; Streptophyta; Magnoliopsida; Poales; Poaceae. The record is from RNAcentral.
AUGUUUGGCACUGCUUUGUGUCCCGAUAACAUUUGGCAAGCUUAUGUAUGGUGCUAUACGUUCUUCCCUGGUGGGGAAAAGUUUUAUACAGCGGGGAUUGCUGCUGUGUGUUGGGCGAUAUGGUCUUGUCGUAAUAGAGUUACCUUCGAGUUCAAACCACUUACAAACCCUUUUGAAUGUGUUUUUUCUGCCUGUGCUCUAAUGUGCUACUGGGCAGGACUGAUGAAGCAAGAUGACGCAGCUACCACGAGGGGCGAGGCAAAGCUGCUGAAGGAGAACGCGUCGAUAAUGAUGAGAAUCUGUGCGGCGAAACAUGAUGAAACGGCAUGCUGA